Molecule: ribosomal RNA, 482 nt
Filed under: uncultured bacterium
Lineage: Bacteria
Description: partial 16S ribosomal RNA
Rfam family: Bacterial small subunit ribosomal RNA
Source: RNAcentral
AUUGAACGCUGGCGGCAGGCCUAACACAUGCAAGUCGAGCGGAUGAAGGGAGCUUGCUCCUGGAUUCAGCGGCGGACGGGUGAGUGAUGCCUAGGAAUCUGCCUGGUAGUGGGGGAUAACGUCCGGAAACGGGCGCUAAUACCGCAUACGUCCUGAGGGAGAAAGUGGGGGAUCUUCGGACCUCACGCUAUCAGAUGAGCCUAGGUCGGAUUAGCUAGUUGGUGGGGUAAAGGCCUACCAAGGCGACGAUCCGUAACUGGUCUGAGAGGAUGAUCAGUCACACGGAAACUGAGACACGGUCCAGACUCCUACGGGGGGCAGCAGUGGGGAAUAGGGGAAAAGGGGCGAAAGCCUGAUCCAGCCAUGCCGCGUGUGUGAAGAAGGUCUUCGGAUUGUAAAGCACUUUAAGUUGGGAGGAAGGGCAAUAAGUUAAUACCUUGCUGUUGUGACGUUACCAACAGAAUAAGCACCGUCAAACUGCG